This 333-nucleotide long non-coding RNA is filed under the name Elaeis guineensis (African oil palm). RNAcentral describes it as "long non-coding RNA (EGUI_LNC007921)". Lineage: Eukaryota; Viridiplantae; Streptophyta; Magnoliopsida; Arecales; Arecaceae. The record is from RNAcentral.
UGCCAUUUGCAUUUAGAUUCCAAGAGUUUAAAAAGUUAUAAACAGAUCCCAAUACUUUAAAAUCAUUACAAAAAAGCCUAGCUAUCUAUCUCUAUUAGGCAAUAUUUUUGAGAGGUUAAAUUUUAUGAAAUAUCAUAAAUGCCCUUUCUAGAAGUUUUUUGAUUUUGGCACAAAUUGGAGGAGAGGGAAAGAAAAGUCAUAUGACUCUCAUGCAACAAUCUUUUCCCAUUUGGUUCCUUUUUUUCAUCUAGUCUUUGUGCCUCAUCAGAUACAAAGAAAGGAAAAACAAGAGGGAGGAUGGUAUAGUGGAGGGAGAAAGAAGAAGAUUGGGGC